RNAcentral lists this long non-coding RNA (890 nucleotides) under Musa acuminata (dwarf banana). RNAcentral describes it as "long non-coding RNA (MACU_LNC004729)". The record is from RNAcentral. Lineage: Eukaryota; Viridiplantae; Streptophyta; Magnoliopsida; Zingiberales; Musaceae.
UUCCAUUUCAUUUAGGUAAAAAUAAAAACCUAAUACUGUUUCCAUUUCAUUUUCCAGUUUGCGUUUUUUGUUUCCGAAUACAACUUGAAAUACACAAAACAUCGUUCCUACAACACUUCGUUUCCGACACACGCGCACACAAACAAAAAAGAGGGAGAAAGCAGUUUUCUGGUCAUUUGAGCAUUGCAUUCUUUCCUUGAGCGUCUCAGUGGCUGCUGCAACGUGGAAGCAGCACGAGUCGGAAGAACUCGAAGGGUAGCUUCAUCCCUGUCCUUUCUGCUACUGAAGCAAGAGGUUUGUACUGCAGCUUUUGGCUACCACCACACGUCAAAGCUGAUCGUGUCUCGCGAAAACUAUUGCAUUCGUGACCGAGGAGCGCACUGUGAAGCAGUCAAGAUGGUUAGGUGCCUGCAGGAACAAAUGAGUACACUACUUUUAAGGAGGAAGUGAAAGCUUCUUCCUGUUCUCAUUGAUAAGACGUAAAAGGAGAUGGCAACCCCUCAUCUCCUUCCUCUUAGUCUGUACCUUAGGCGCUUGGUCGUGAGCUAUUGCCAAGGCAUGUACACCAUUACCCAUAACAAAAACAUGUUGCCAGGAAAAAGAAAGUUGCAAGUAAAAAUAAUCUGGACGUGCUUCUUGUUCUGCACACCUUUCGUUCAGUACUAGUAAUUAUUGAUAAUGCUGUAGUAAAUGAAAGCAACGUGUGCGGACAGUGUUGCAGAGUAGUCGAUACUGUAGCAUCUCUCACCGGAAAAGGACGUCUCUACAAGAGCUUUGACAAAAACCACAUCAACAGUGUCUGUAUCGCGCAGGCAAUUGCACUAAAACAUGACGAAAAUGAUCGGUGGUCUUUUUGUCCAAAUGAGACGUCUCCCUCGUUUCAAUCUUCC